CUGGCAAAGGCCCCUCUCUGCGUGUUCACAGCGGACCUUGAUUUAAAUGUCCAUACAAUUAAGGCACGCGGUGAAUGCUAAGAACGAGGCUGGAAGAGCUU
MicroRNA precursor from Anolis carolinensis (green anole), 101 nucleotides. Ensembl annotates it as aca-mir-124b. Its record names the gene aca-mir-124b. The record is from Ensembl. NCBI's taxonomy places the organism in Eukaryota, Metazoa, Chordata, Lepidosauria, Squamata, Anolidae.